This 301-nucleotide ribosomal RNA is filed under the name uncultured bacterium. RNAcentral describes it as "partial 16S ribosomal RNA". It matches the Rfam family "Bacterial small subunit ribosomal RNA", at positions 509 to 807 of the family's 1533-position model. The record is from RNAcentral.
CAGCCGCCACGGUAAUACGAAGGGUGCAAGCGUUAAUCGGAAUUACUGGGCGUAAAGCGUGCGUAGGCGGUGAGUUAAGUCUGCUGUGAAAUCCCCGGGCUCAACCUGGGAAUGGCAGUGGAUACUGGCUCGCUAGAGUGUGUCAGAGGAUGGUGGAAUUCCCGGUGUAGCGGUGAAAUGCGUAGAGAUCGGGAGGAACAUCAGUGGCGAAGGCGGCCAUCCGGGACAACACUGACGCUGAGGCACGAAAGCGUGGGGAGCAAACAGGAUUAGAUACCCGCGUAGUCCCUGUCUCUUAUAC